GAUGAACGCUGGCGGCGUGCCUAAUACAUGCAAGUCGAGCGAACAGAUAAGGAGCUUGCUCCUUUGACGUUAGCGGCGGACGGGUGAGUUACACGUGGAUAACCUACCUAUAAGACUGGGAUAACUUCGGAAACCGGAGCUAAUUCCGGGUUACAUAUUGAACCGCAUUGUUCAAUAGUUGAAGGCGGCUUUGCUUUCACUUUUAGAUGGAUCCGCGCCGUAUUAGCUAGUUGGUAAGGUAACGGCUUACCAAGGCAACGAUACGUAGCCGACCUGAGAGGGUGAUCGGCCACACUGGAACUGAGACACGGUCCAGACUCCUACGGGAGGCAGCAGUAGGGAAUCUUCCGCAAUGGGCGAAAGCCUGACGGAGCAACGCCGCGUGAGUGAUGAAGGUCUUCGGAUCGUAAAACUCUGUUAUCAGGGAAGAACAAAUGUGUAAGUAACUGUGCACAUCUUGACGGUACCUGAUCAGAAAGCCACGGCUAACUACGUG
This 496-nucleotide ribosomal RNA is filed under the name uncultured bacterium. RNAcentral's name for it is "partial 16S ribosomal RNA". It matches the Rfam family "Bacterial small subunit ribosomal RNA", at positions 28 to 507 of the family's 1533-position model. The record is from RNAcentral.